GAACUUAAGCAUAUCAAUAAGCGGAGGAAAAGAAACUAACAAGGAUUCCCCUAGUAGCGGCGAGCGAAGCGGGAAGAGCUCAAAUUUAUAAUCUGGCACCUUCGGUGUCCGAGUUGUAAUCUCUAGAAGUGUUUUCCGCGUUGGACCGCGCAUAAGUCUGUUGGAAUACAGCGGCACAGUGGUGAGACCCCCGUAUGUGGUGCGGACGCCCAGCGCUUUGUGAUACACUUUCGAAGAGUCGAGUUGUUUGGGAAUGCAGCUCAAAUUGGGUGGUAAAUUCCAUCUAAAGCUAAAUAUUGGCGAGAGACCGAUAGCGAACAAGUACCGUGAGGGAAAGAUGAAAAGCACUUUGGAAAGAGAGUUAACAGUACGUGAAAUUGUUGGAAGGGAAACGCUUGAAGUCAGACUUGCUUGCCGGGCAACCGGUUUGCAGGCCAGCAUCAGUUUUCCGGGGUGGAUAAUGGUAGAGAGAAGGUAGCAGUUUCGGCUGUGUUAUAGCUCUCUACUGGAUACACCUUGGGGGACUGAGGAACGCAGUGUGCCUUACGGCGGAGGUUCGACCUCUCACACU
Molecule: ribosomal RNA, 571 nt
Filed under: Rhodotorula sphaerocarpa
Lineage: Eukaryota; Fungi; Basidiomycota; Microbotryomycetes; Sporidiobolales; Sporidiobolaceae
Description: LSU rRNA
Rfam family: Eukaryotic large subunit ribosomal RNA
Source: RNAcentral